GCCUCUUUCCUGAAGAUUGCUGGGAGCUUCUGAAGCUUUGCGUCCUGUGUGGCUCAGAGGAGAUAGCAAUUCCGCAGAGUCCCGGAAGUUAAAGAAGGCUGAGUUAGGAUUGUUUCUUCAUGGUCAGGGAAACAGCCUUCACAUUUGUAUAUUUUAUGCAAUAUUUAGGGCAGGAUUCAGGGGCUUGGGAUUCUUUGGGAUUUGCAAUAAGAAUAAUAUUCAAUAUUUAGGCUUUUCUAAAUUGAAAAAUCACUGCCACACGUUCUAAUGUAAUUGUUUGGUUUCUCUAUUUGCAUUUUGCGGGGACUGCCUUAAAACUCAUUUAUUGUUUUAUAGCCUUCUAUUAUAGUUACCAUUGUUACAUGAUUUUAUGUAUAGAAAUUGGCUGAUCUAGAGCUUUCAGAAAUCAUACUAAUAUGCACUAUAAAUUUUAAAAUUACUUAAUGUAGUAAUUUAAUGUUUGCAGUAUGCAAGGGAAUGUAUUACGUACUGGAAGGAGAGGGGAGACAAACACCAGACCCCAUACUCAAGGAGUACUGGUAGUAUCAUUUAUCAUACAAGACAGAUAAGAUAAGGUCCAUAUGAGAGCUAUCAACAGAUGCUGUGAGUUCAGACUAAGGAGAAUCAGUUCUUGCUGUAGGUAAGGGGAAUGCUGUGUUUAUAAAGCAAAUGACAUGGAAACUGGAUCUUGAAGGAUGAGUUAGUUUUCAAAAGGUACAUGGGAAAUACUCCUCAGAAAAAAGCUGUCUUUGGGCAGUGUCGGGGUCUGCCAUGUGUUGCACCGCUGCUGACCACAGUGGAAGAGGCUCCACGGGGCAUCUCUGCUCGAGUCUGGGGACAUUUUCCUAAGUGGCUCAAUGGCUCUCUACUUCGAACUGGACCUGGGAAAUUCGAGUUUGGGAAGGAUAAGUACAAUCAUUGGUUUGAUGGGAUGGCACUGCUUCACCAGUUCAGGAUGGCAAAGGGCACAGUGACAUACAGGAGCAAGUUUCUACAGAGUGAUACAUAUAAGGCCAACAGUGCUAAAAACCGAAUUGUGAUCUCAGAAUUUGGCACACUGGCUCUCCCGGAUCCAUGCAAGAAUGUUUUUGAACGUUUCAUGUCCAGGUUUGAGCUGCCUGGUAAAGCUGCAGGUGAUAGUGAUGAUUAUUUAAACUAUUAUGAUAUAUAACCAUCUAUACAAACAUAAAUCUUGAAAAUAGAUAUUUUGUGUAUGUGAGA
Molecule: small RNA, 1221 nt
Filed under: Pongo abelii (Sumatran orangutan)
Lineage: Eukaryota; Metazoa; Chordata; Mammalia; Primates; Hominidae
Description: retained intron
Source: RNAcentral